AACCGCCGUAUACGAGACCCGUACGUACGGUGGUGUGAGAGGCUCUCCGCUAGGUCAUUGACCUAGCGGCAGUCUACUCGAU
RNAcentral lists this non-coding RNA (82 nucleotides) under Marinilabilia salmonicolor. The record is from RNAcentral. Lineage: Bacteria; Pseudomonadati; Bacteroidota; Bacteroidia; Marinilabiliales; Marinilabiliaceae.